GUGCGGGGCCGUGACUGGCGCUGAGGUGGAGUACCACCGGGGAGCGGCCCACAUGGGAGUCGAUGCCGCGCGCCUGGGCGAUCCGG
This 86-nucleotide non-coding RNA is filed under the name Streptomyces sp. Its description in RNAcentral is "ZTP sequence". It matches the Rfam family "ZMP/ZTP riboswitch aptamer (pfl RNA motif)". From Rfam's summary of the family: Previously known as pfl RNA. ZMP is also known as AICAR. Lineage: Bacteria; Bacillati; Actinomycetota; Actinomycetes; Kitasatosporales; Streptomycetaceae. The record is from RNAcentral.